GUGCUUGCUUCGGCAGCACAUAUACUAAAAUUGGAAUGCUACAGAGAUUAGCUUGGCCUCUGUUCAAGGGUGAUAUGCAAAUGUGUGCAGCUUUCCAUAUUUUU
This is a small nuclear RNA of Ochotona curzoniae (black-lipped pika), 104 nucleotides long. The record is from RefSeq and is a predicted model, not a curated record. Lineage: Eukaryota; Metazoa; Chordata; Mammalia; Lagomorpha; Ochotonidae.